AACGCACAUUGCGCCCUUUGGCAUUCCAAAGGGCAUGCCUGUUUGAGCGUCAUUUCUCCCUCAAGCCCGCGGGUUUGGUGUUGAGCAAUACGCUACGGUUUGUUUGAAAGACGUACGUGGAGACUAUAUUAGCGACUUAGGUUCUACCAAAACGCUUGUGCAGUCGGCCCACCACAGCUUUUCUAACUUUUGACCUCAAAUCAGGUAGGACUACCCGCUGAACUUAA
This 227-nucleotide unclassified non-coding RNA is filed under the name uncultured fungus. Its description in RNAcentral is "partial contains 5.8S ribosomal RNA, internal transcribed spacer 2, and large subunit ribosomal RNA". The stretch from base 1 to 52 matches the Rfam family "5.8S ribosomal RNA", at positions 103 to 154 of the family's 154-position model. Lineage: Eukaryota; Fungi. The record is from RNAcentral.